This 943-nucleotide ribosomal RNA is filed under the name Ochrolechia pallescens. RNAcentral's name for it is "SSU rRNA". It matches the Rfam family "Bacterial small subunit ribosomal RNA", at positions 352 to 1261 of the family's 1533-position model. The record is from RNAcentral. Lineage: Eukaryota; Fungi; Ascomycota; Lecanoromycetes; Pertusariales; Ochrolechiaceae.
CACUUGGAGAUGUAUAGCGAAAGCUAGUUGCAUUAACUAACUGUUAAUGCAGAAGCGACUAUGUCGUGUAAAGUUCAGGGUAGAGUUAUGAUAAUGACAUUUUCUAUCUGUGUGUCUCGACCAAACUACGUGCCAGCAGUCGCGGUAAUACGUUAGAGACUAGUGUUAUUCGUCUUUAGUAGGUUUAAAGGGUACCUAGACGGUCAUUUCAGCCCCUAAAGGGUACUGUUUGUACUAGAGUUUUAUGAGAGGGGGGGUGUACUAAUGGUGUAGAGAUGAAAUUCAGUCAUACCAUUACGAACAGGCAACAGCGAAGGCAACCCUUUAUGUGUAAACUGACGUUGAAGGACGAAGGCUUAGUCAACCAACAGGAUUAGAUACCCUAGCAGUCUGAGCAGACAAUGAUGAAUGCCAUAGAUUGGUAUAAAUAGAGGAAGAGGAAGGUAGUGAAAGUAUUUUUCUUGUUUAAAAAAAAACAUAAAUUGUAUGUCAUUCUUUUUGGAAAUUGUGACAAAUAAUUCUUUUCCGCCUUGGGGCUACGGGCCUUUAUCUUAAAAGAUUUUAUUUUCCACCUUGUCUAUAAAUGAAAGUGUAAGCAUUCCACCUCAAGAGUAACGUGGCAACGCGGAAACUGAAAUCAUUAGACCGUUUCUGAAACCAGUAGUGAAGUAUGUUGUUUAAUUCGAUAAUCCGCGGUACACCUUACCACAAUUUGUAUGUUUAGUAAUAAAUACAAGAGUUGCACGGCUGUCUUCAGUUAAUGUCGUGAGAUUUUGGUUAGUUCCAUUAAAUUAACGUAAACCCUUACUUUAUUUUAGUAAAUAGAGUAGUUCACCGCUAUAUUGGAUAUGAUAAAAGGGACUAAGACAAGUCAUCAUGGCCCGAAUAUUGUGGGCUAUAGACGUGCCACAUACGCCUAUACAAAGGGAUGCGAAAUUGCGAA